This 501-nucleotide ribosomal RNA is filed under the name uncultured bacterium. Its description in RNAcentral is "partial 16S ribosomal RNA". It matches the Rfam family "Bacterial small subunit ribosomal RNA", at positions 30 to 523 of the family's 1533-position model. The record is from RNAcentral.
AUUGAACGCUGGCGGCAUGCCUUACACAUGCAAGUCGAACGGCAGCACGGGUGCUUGCACCUGGUGGCGAGUGGCGAACGGGUGAGUAAUACAUCGGAACGUACCUUAUCGUGGGGGAUAACGCAGCGAAAGUUGCGCUAAUACCGCAUACGCCCUGAGGGGGAAAGCGGGGGACCGUAAGGCCGAGCUCGAUCAGAGCGGCCGAUGUCUGAUUAGCUUGUUGGUGAGGUAAAAGAUCACCAAGGCGAUGAUCAGUAGCUGGUCUGAGAGGACGAUCAGCCACACUGGGACUGAGACACGGCCCAGACUCCUACGGGAGGCAGCAGUGGGGAAUUUUGGACAAUGGGGGCAACCCUGAUCCAGCAAUGCCGCGUGAGUGAAGAAGGCCUUCGGGUUGUAAAGCUCUUUUGUCAGGGAAGAAACAGCAGCUCUAACACAGUCUGCGAAUGACGGUACCUGAAGAAUAAGCACCGGCUAACUACGUGCCAGCAGCCGCCGUAA